Papaver somniferum (opium poppy) is the source of this 3147-nucleotide long non-coding RNA. RefSeq lists it as uncharacterized. The transcript is spliced from 9 exons. Lineage: Eukaryota; Viridiplantae; Streptophyta; Magnoliopsida; Ranunculales; Papaveraceae. The record is from RefSeq and is a predicted model, not a curated record.
AUAUCUAACACAUACCCAAUCCAUCUAUCAACAAAAGGAAUUGAAUACAAAGGUUACCUUGGUCGGUUAUACUUAUUUCCAUCGUCUUCAUCAUGGUUAUCAACAUGUUCAUCAUCGACAUCCAACUCUUCAUAUCAUCAUGAAUAACACCAUGGUUUCCUCUCCAUCACUUCAUAAUCAUAUGUUCUACUGUUUCUCCAAAACUCUCAUCUCCUCUUCCUCUCAAAUCCUUCAUAUCAUCAGCUGUACUUCAUAACCAUUGUUUUGUUGGUUGAUUUCAGGUUGAUCUCAACAACUUAAGUUGCAGUUCAGAUUUUCAUCUUGUACAGGGUCUGGAACUAAUUUACUCAGAAAUAUUCAGGGAGUUCUUUCUUCAUUUUAGUGAUUUUCUCUUAAAUGGCAGAAGGAUCUUCUUCAAUUUUCAGAGAUGGAGAUGGAAGAAUAGUUCAUACUGCAGAUGACGAGGUAGAAGCUGCUCCAGAGGCUAGUAAGAAGCAUAGCUCCGUAGAUGCUGGGGAUGCAAAUGGUCAGAUCUCAGUUUGGGUUGCAGAUAGAGAAUGAGUAUGACCAUAGGAAUGGGAAAUUGGAGCUUCUGGUAAAGAAAAUGGGCUUCAAUGGCUGUAGGACUUGGCACUGGCGUCCUAUGGGUUAUGUGCAAACACGAAGAUGUUCCUGAUCACAUUGUUAAAAGAAUACAAGAUCAGAAGAUGGCAUUAAGAACUUCUGGAAGAUUCAUCUCCUGGCGGCUCGUUGGUGGAACCAGAAACUUCAGCGGCAACCUAUGUGUAUUGAAGAUGUUGGAGUUAAGUUCAAGAAUAUGAAUCUUCAAAUUCUGUAUAGAAGGAUUUAGCAGAAGGAUUUGGGCGCCAAGAAAUUCCAGUUUGAGCAUAGUGAAAAAUUUGUAUACAGUUUCUGUUUUACCCUUGAUGUCUAUUGUUAGUGGUUCAGUUAUCAUUCAAUUUCGAAAGGCACUCACUAAUUCAUUUCUAUUAUCCUUCUUAUCCUUAUUUUCUUUGUAUCUUCCUUUUAGAAAUCUUAUGUUACUAUUAGGUAAAUAAAAAAAAACUGUUUGAGUUCUGUCAUAUCCUUGGGCACAUUCAUUUAAUUGGUGUCAUGUUUUAUUCACUUUUUGAAGCUGGGAUGAUGUAUGCACGAAAAUAGUUCUUUUUAGUAACCCCCAAUUUUUUAAAUUUUUGUUAUCAUUUCUGCCAUUCAAGUCACUAGCUAGUAAACUCGUGAUCGCAAUUAGGAGAGUCUCAAUCGCGUAGGAAGAUUUAGUUUGUGUGGCAGGAGUUCAUGGUUCCGAGUUCGGGCUGUUGUUAAAUCAACUUUUCUGAAAUCAUCCAAGUUAUCUGGAUCAAUUUCUCCAAGCUUUCAGGUGGUAAACAUCUUUUAUUCUGCGUUUUCAUAUGUUUUAGUUUGUGGUUAUAUUGAAUAAAUAGUCCCAGUUGUGGAACUUUACAAAAAGGAGUAAGCAUGAAUGAUGGUGGAUUACAAGAAGUUUGAUUUUUUCUUUUUAAUUAGCCACAUGGGGGCUGUUUGUUGCUGAUGUUGUUUAUUGUGUGAACAUGAAGGUUGGAACAACUGUUGUUACCCGGGCUGAUGGAAGAUUAGCAUUAGGUACUCGAGAAAGGCGUGGUUUACCUGAUGGAACUGGAUUGGCAUAUCACAUGAAUGGUAAAGGUCAUGUCUGUUUGUACAUCCAGCAUCCAGAUGGUUAUGCAACGUCAUUCUGUAGUUCUCAUUUCAUGAUGAACUGAAUUACAAAAAAGUACUAUUAGGUGAUUACUUUUCCUGGCUUUUUUUAAUUUAUUGAGAUAUUGUCUUUGCAGGUCAAGAAAUUUAUAGAAAAAAGCCUAAUGUAAAUGAUAAACUCGUUUUCUCCAACACCAAUACUGCACGACAAGUGCUUGAUAAAAAGCUUGAAAGAAAACAAAAUUGGGUAACCGUUUUCUAUUGCUUUCUUGGUAUACUUCAGAAUUAUUAACUUGAAUUGUGUAACCUGGAUGGUUUCUGUGGUAUCUUCUAUUAUUGGUUCGUGGUUUGAAAACUAACUUGAAUGGCUCGGAAACAUAGUUUGGUUUUUGUUGUCGACAACUUAGUUAUCAUUUUGAAGUCUCGAAUUAUAUCCCAGCGUCAUAGGCUUAGCUCAUGGAGGCAUUUAGAUUGUUCUUUAUUAACUUAGUUAUGAUUUUCUGCAAAACGCCGACCUGUUUGCAGGUGCUGAUGGCAACAUCACAGAAGAACAACUUCGUUAGGUAGUUUUUUUUUUAGACUUGUUUUUGUGCAGUUCACAACUUGACACAACUUUUUGAAAAGGUGUUUGAACCCUUCGACGCCGUGGAGCUGCUGCAAUUGCCUCUUGACCAGGAGACUGGAUAGUUCAAAGGGUUUAGUUUUGUCCAGUUUGCACGUCUUGAAGAUGUUAGAGCCGCUCAGAUUUUGAACGCGAAAUUAGACAUUACAGGGACGAUCAUCAAGGUGGGCAACUGCCUAAUUCCCUUUUCUUUUCUGUUUGAUAAGUAAUAGGAUAAAUCGUCAAAGAUAGAAGACUUGACCCUAAUGAACUUAAUUGGAGGUAGAGUACCUUUUUCUUUUCUCGAAAAUGUUUACUUCUUUGUCUAACAUGUUACCAUAUAAUAUAUUUGUAGCUGUGAAUGAAUGUUAGUGUUCCUACAUGUUACCCUUGAAUUGACCAAAGAUAAUUCUGAACUCUUGAUACAUGGCUAAUUAUUUGCACUUGAUAAGUUAGUUUCUUUUCAGGUACAGUCUUUGAAUGCCCACCCUAGAGUCAUUCUCAUGCAGAAGUUAGAUCGAAGUGGCACCAUAUCAUGCCUUGUUCCUGAUGUAAAUGGAGCUUCCCUUGCUCUACCAGCAACAUCAAGAACCGAUGAAACACCAAGAACAAUCAUAAUACACUGGAGGUUUCAAGAAAAAUUUAUACCAUCAGUGGAGCUAUCCUUGGCGUUGCAUUGGAACUAUAUCAUAAUUUCACGUGGUUGUUUGAGCUAUUCAGAGUGUUUGAAUGUUUGAUCGUUUUGUAAUCGAAUCCUAAAACUACAGAGUACACUGGCCAGAACUACAUAUUUUAAUCCUUUGUAUAAUUUGAAACCAUUGAAUCAAAGAAUGUUAAAUUGAAUGAUUAUU